GGAGAGGUGACCGAGUGGCCGAAGGUGCACGACUGGAAAUCGUGUGUGCGUUAACAGCGCACCGAGGGUUCGAAUCCCUCUCUCUCCG
Molecule: transfer RNA, 88 nt
Filed under: bacterium
Lineage: Bacteria
Also listed under: 1 other name
Description: tRNA-Ser
Rfam family: tRNA
About the family: Transfer RNA (tRNA) molecules are approximately 80 nucleotides in length. Their secondary structure includes four short double-helical elements and three loops (D, anti-codon, and T loops). Further hydrogen bonds mediate the characteristic L-shaped molecular structure. tRNAs have two regions of fundamental functional importance: the anti-codon, which is responsible for specific mRNA codon recognition, and the 3' end, to which the tRNAs corresponding amino acid is attached (by aminoacyl-tRNA synthetases). tRNAs cope with the degeneracy of the genetic code in two manners: having more than one tRNA (with a specific anti-codon) for a particular amino acid; and 'wobble' base-pairing, i.e. permitting non-standard base-pairing at the 3rd anti-codon position.
Source: RNAcentral